GGAGUUUGUUUAACAUAUUGUGAGGUAAGGAUCAUCUUCUUUAAGAAAUUGUUGCAAUUAGAGUUAAUAUUCUGUUAAGGUUUUAUUUGAGGAGUUUGAUAGCUGAUAUCUGUUUCCUUGUCAGAUUCAAAUAACUUUGUUCUAAAUUCAUAGUUGUAAUCUUACAGUCCAUCUCCAUGGAUAAGUUUGCAUUAAUAGAAUAUUCUCAAGAAAAUAAUUACUGCUUUCAUUUGCCUUUUUCUUACAUCUCUGCAAUCUUGUUUUUUAACCUAUGUGGCUUCACUUCUGUCCUCAAAGCAUCCCAACUUGAAUCAAAUGGCCUAUUUUCAACACAUGAAAAAUAAAAUGCUACCAUAUUUUUGCUCUUAUUUUUUUUCAUUCAACUGCUACUUCCUACCCUUCUAUAUUUGUUCUCAUUUAUUUUCAAGCUGUUAUUUCAACUGAGCUCAUUCCAUGAAUGAUUUGCCUUCUUAUAGUUCAAAAUUUUGCACCAUAAAUCAUGGGGCAGGUAUGGAAACCUUAGGUUCUGUUCAGUUUUGUAAUUAUCAGAACCAAUCUGAUAUUAAAAUUGUGAAGAUAAAAGUUUUAAGAUUCAACAGAUGGUUCAAAUACUGAACUGCUGCUUAUAUGCACUCUCACUCAACUCAAUUCAGCUCAAUUAGCUGUUAAUCUCAAACUAGUUGGGGUUGGCUAUUUGUAUUCUUUUCCUCCAUUCUACUUGGCUUAUGGUUACAUCUUCAAAAAGAUUUAGGGCUUUUUCACACACACAUGUAGUUUAUAAGUUGCAAAAUUAACUAAAUAAGAUAACAUAUAUACAAAAUAUAUAAAAAUGGAUAGAUGUUUAUAAUUUGAGGGUUAAAUGAUGCAUUUUGAUUAAAAAUUGUGGAGUUUAAUUUAGGUCAUUCUUUUUUUUUUUUUU
RNAcentral lists this unclassified non-coding RNA (919 nucleotides) under Hevea brasiliensis (rubber tree). Lineage: Eukaryota; Viridiplantae; Streptophyta; Magnoliopsida; Malpighiales; Euphorbiaceae. The record is from RNAcentral.